CUCUCUCUCUCUCUCUCUCUCUCUCUCUCGCGCGCGAAAGCACAGAUGGCGGCCGGAAUCGUCGUCCCGUCUAUGAUUGCUCACUCCGCGUCACUCUCGAUCACUCUCUGAAUCAAGUUAUCCCCACCUCAAUCUCUCUCAAUCUCGAAUCCGCUCUCAAACUUUCUCUGCUAUCGAUCUCAAAUCGCUAUCACUCCGAUUUCCUCUUCUUCUUCCGUUGCUUCUCCUCUCCAUUCAAUCUCUCUCGGUUCAAGUUUCAAUUAGUUUCCGAUUUGACUCAACUCUUUUCGCCACAAUCUCUGCUUCAACUCCGAUUUGAUAUACCGGAGAAUGUUUGACGCCUUUUCCAUGGUACCGACGAGGAGAAAACUCCACCGUUAAAGACAGGUGAUUGGAGAAUCAGAGGAAGCUGUGUGAUGGUUGAAUCGUGAGAGGAGAUUGAAGAAUGAAGGUUAUUGAUGACAAAUGCGAUGCGGUUCUUGCGAUGAUUCGUAGAUAAAGGUUGUGAAGCUGCAAUUGUUGUUCUGAGAUGUAAAAAUCGUUAGAGUCUUGAAGAUUAUUACGUGAAGGUGUGAUUGAAUGAAGAAUCGGUGGAGAGUUCUUGGAGAUUGAAGAAGCGAUGAAGAUGAUGAGAGGAAGAUGAAGAUUCAAUGGUGGUGAUGAAUGAAUGAUUGGUUAUGGUUCUUGCUAUCGGUUCCCUUUGUUGUGUCGGAUUUUGUUUAUUUCUUCUUCUCUUCUUUUGUGAAUUCUGUCUUGGUUCGAACCGGUUUCGAAUUAUCGAGUUGGCUUGAACUUAUGCGUGAAGAGUAUUUGAACCGGUACAAUUUCCCAUUUUGCAGGUUGAGCACAUGGUUUUGGAAACAAAGAGUUCAUAUGGUAUGAAAGAACUUAGCCAAGAAGAACUGAUCCAAGAUUCUGAGCAUUAUUUAUAGAAUUUAAGAGAAAUAUCUUUUCAAAAAGUUAGGACCUAGAGUUGAAUGAUUGAAUUUGAAUUAUUGAUGUAAUGAUGGACUAUUGGUGGAUGUAAAUUGUAAUGAAUAUGAUUUUGAACAUUCUUGAUU
Vicia villosa (hairy vetch) is the source of this 1061-nucleotide long non-coding RNA. RefSeq lists it as uncharacterized. The record is from RefSeq and is a predicted model, not a curated record. NCBI's taxonomy places the organism in Eukaryota, Viridiplantae, Streptophyta, Magnoliopsida, Fabales, Fabaceae. The transcript is spliced from 3 exons.